Amphibalanus amphitrite is the source of this 1162-nucleotide RNA transcript. RefSeq lists it as uncharacterized. NCBI's taxonomy places the organism in Eukaryota, Metazoa, Arthropoda, Thecostraca, Balanomorpha, Balanidae. The transcript is spliced from 4 exons. The record is from RefSeq and is a predicted model, not a curated record.
CAAUAAAGGUCCGUGCUGAGCCUGGAUGUUACAAUUGGCGACGAGGUGAAUAUCGUGCUAUGGAAGAUGGCUGAAGGCUUCAGUUUAGCCCCAUUUGAUUUACGCGAAGAUGUGUGGGAAGAGUGGUUCGAGAGAUUUGAGUUUUACUUGGAUGCAAGAAAUGUGACUGACAAUGGCAAGAAGAAGUCCUACCUGCUUUCACAAUGCGAAGCGGCUUCCAGGGACGCCAGGAUCAUCGGAGGACAGGAGAGCACCGUCAACGAGAUCUCUGUGCCGGGUCGGGACGUGACGCCGGGUGGGAUCAAUGAAGUGCACGCCGGCCAACGCAGUCGCGACGUUUCAGGAGAUACAUCCGACUCCUGAGUUGAAGAAGCCAAAGUCUGUCCUCAGAACCUACACUGGAGCCAAGAUUCCGGUCGUGGGUGAAUUCAUCGCGGACGUGAAGUACAACAACCAGGCGAGAUGGCUUCCACUGGUGGUGGUUGGAGGAGAUGGACCAAACCUCCUCGGGCGCGACUGGCUUGGGAACCUGAAGCUGGACUGGUUCAACAUCUUCUCGGUAUCGACGCCUGGGCUUCGGUGUCAACUCGGCGGUGGCGUUGUUUCAGCGAGAGAUGGAGAAGUUGUUGAAUGGUAUGCCUGGUGUCUGUGUUUUCCUAGAUGAUGUGCUCAUUACUGGGAAAUCCCAGAACGACUGCUUACAGCGCACAUCUGCGGUGUUGGAGAAGCUGCAAGAUGCCGGACUCCGUGUGUCGGAGAAGAAGUGCAAAUUCUGCGUGGACAGCGUGGAGUACCUGGGGCACAGGAUCGACGCUGAGGGCUGUCACCCCACAGAGGCGAAGGUGAGAGCCAUCCACUCUGCGCCAAGUCCCAAAAACGUGUCAGAGCUGAAAAGUUUCUUGGGCAUUCUGAAUUACUAUGCUCGUUUUCUACCAAACCGAUCUGAGGUACUGUCACCAUUGCAUGAGCUUUUGAAAAAGGAUGCUUUGUGGGCCUGGGGACCAAAGCAGCAGAGUGCUUUCAAUGAGGCAAAAACGUUGAUAACGUCGGAACGAGUGCUGGCGCAUUUUGAUCCAACCGUUCCUCUUGUGCUCACUUGUGACGCAUCCUCUGUUGGCAUUGGCUCAGUGCUCUCACACAGAUACAGGGAUGGGUCCGAGAA